This 403-nucleotide ribosomal RNA is filed under the name uncultured bacterium. RNAcentral describes it as "bacterial SSU rRNA". It matches the Rfam family "Bacterial small subunit ribosomal RNA", at positions 355 to 774 of the family's 1533-position model. The record is from RNAcentral.
UAGGGAAUAUUGCACAAUGGGCGAAAGCCUGAUGCAGCAACGCCGCGUGUGCGAUGAAGGCCUUCGGGUCGUAAAGCACUUUUCUGGGAGAUGAGAAAGGACAGUAUCUCAGGAAUAAGUCUCGGCUAACUACGUGCCAGCAGCCGCGGUAAACCGUAGGAGGCAAGCGUUAUCCGGAUCCACUGGGUGUAAAGCGCGUGCAGGCGGUUCGGUAAGUUGGGCGUGAAAUCUCCUGGCUCAACUAGGAGAGGUCGUUCAAUACUACCGGACUUGAGAGUGGUAGAGGAAGAUGGAAUUCCCGGUGUAGUGGUGAAAUGCGUAGAUAUCGGGAGGAACACCAGUGGCGAAGGCGAUCUUCUGGACCAUUUCUGACGCUCAGACGCGACAGCUAGGGUAGCAAACG